Molecule: long non-coding RNA, 22200 nt
Filed under: Coffea arabica (coffee)
Lineage: Eukaryota; Viridiplantae; Streptophyta; Magnoliopsida; Gentianales; Rubiaceae
Description: long non-coding RNA (CARA_LNC006563)
Source: RNAcentral
UUUUUUUUUUUUUUUUUUUUAAAGUAAUUAAAAUUGAUAAUAGUAAAAAUAAAUAACAAAAACAAUUUAAUUAACAUUGGAUGAAAAAUAAACUAGAAACAACAAAGUGCAAAUUCCAAUUCAUCAUCUUUUCAUUUUCCAUUUUUCCUUUUUUUCUUUAAAUAAUGAAACUAAAUCCUAAACAACUAAAACAUAUUUUUUUUGAACACUUUUCUUUUUCCUUUGAGAAAUUCUAGCUAAAAAUGGAUAAAAAUGACUAAAACUAAAAGUAAAUAAACUAAAUGUGACAAUUAAAAAUAGAACAAAUAAAAACGAAUAGUAAAUAAAUAAAUAAAUAAUAAAACACCAAAAAUUUGGUGUCUACAGUUUGCCCCUCUUUGUCUGAGUUUUGAAAAAACUUGAGACAAAGAAGUAGACACCAAAUACUUACCUGUGUUAUUUGGUUGCCCCUUUUCGGAGGACUGACCUAACAAGGAAUUUCAGACAUGGGACUGGCCCGAACAGAAUUGUAAACGGGAUAGACCCGGACAGAAAUUUAAAUGGGAUAGACCCACGGGAUAGACCCGGACAGAAAUUUAAAAUUGGGAUAGACCCACGGGAUAGACCCGGACAGAAAUGUAAAAUUGGGAUAGACCCACGGGAUAGACCCGGACAGAAAUUUAAAAUUGGAUUGUAUGAAGAAAACUGCAUAAGACUUUAUUUGAAAAUGUAUCCACAGAUUUGCCCCAGUAAUGAAUUGGUCAGUGGGAUUAAACCCGAACCUGCCAUGAUGAUCGACCAGUGGGAUAAUACCUGAUCCUGCCGAGGUUGGCGGGAUGAAACCCGGUCCCAACGAAAAAAGCGGUCAGCGGGAUUAUACCCGGUCCUGCCGAGAUUGGCGGUCAGCGGGAUAAAACCCGGUCCUGCCGAGGUAAGCGGUCAGCGGGAUAAAACCCGGUCCUGCCGAGGUAAGCGGUCAGCGGGAUAAAACCCGGUCCUGCCGAGAUAAGCGGUCAGCGGGAUAAAACCCGGUCCCAACGUGCUUUUGCGAAUGGUCAGUGGGAUAAAACCCAAUCCUGCCAUCCAAUUGGUCAAGAAAUUGAAUUGGAUUUGCCAAGAAACAAGCAAUUAAAUUUGAUUUUCCAAGAAACAAGAAUUUGAACUUGAUUUUUGACUUUUGACGUUUUGAAUUUUUCUGAUUUUUCGAGAGAAUCAUUUUUCAAAAAUAAUUUGCCCCAGUGUAGGGCCCUUUUCCCUUCUUUUCUCUUUCUUCGGCAUCGGCUUUCCACAUCACCAGAUGUUCUUUCGUUGAUUUCAACAAUGAAUACCUGCACAGGGGGCUUACCAAAAUAUGACAUGCAUUCACAUUUUCAUGAAAAGAGCAGCGUGAUUGAUUUGAAAGAUGCAUUAUUUGAUUCUUGGGCGAAAUCCUCAAUUGGACUAACAAAAAUAUUUGCCCCUGUGUGGGCUUGUUUUCACGAAAUCUCAUAACAAAAGUUUUGCCCCAGUAUGGGCCAUUUAAUUGCAAAAACUUGUCUGGAUGACUUUCCAUUUAUUUGAACAUUGUAAGAAACUAUGUUUCCUAAAAGAAAAUUUCAUGAUGAUUUUCUUGAAAUAAAAUCAGAUCACAGAAGAUUUCUUCCUCACCUUGGCAUUGGUGUUUUGGGUAAUGGGUCACAAUUUCCAGUUGGUUCAUCUUUCAGAACCGAUCAAGUGGGUGUUAUUUCUGAUUUGGAAAUGGGAGGUCAAGAUUUGUCUUAUCCAUGUGUACAGAUGGUAUGUAAUCCCUUCAAUACCAUAUCUUAGUGAAAGCAAAGAGUUUGUCACCCUCAUGUCUUAAGAAAACUUAGUCAACGUAUAAGCUUCAUGGGCUUGCAAAAUUUCGGGUAGAAAUGAUAGCUAAACAUGUAAAAAACUGGUUAUACCCUUAUGAUCACGAAUGAUUGACGGACUUCUUAUGAGCAUAUCCUUACUUUGGACUGUCAUGAAGGAAUAAGUCAACGAUGGACUUUAUUAGCUUGUAAUUUGGCUUGAAAACGAUAGCUAAAGAAUAAACUUCCAAGGACAUUGCACUGAAAAUCGUAUCUUCCAAAAACUGCCCCUAUUUUGAACUCAAAGAUCUCAGAAUUUGUUCGUAUUCUUUUCAUCAUUCACCAGGGAUUUCAGCGUCGAAUUUUUCUGCAUUUUCUUGCAUUUACUUUUCUUGCUUUGCUUUUUGCCUUUUCUUUUUCUGGUGGGUUUUCACAUGAUGAGUAGCGUCAACCCCAUACUCAGGCAAUUCAGAAAUACAGCUAAAAUUUUCAGCAUCAGAAAUUUUCUUGACAAGGCCAUUGCAAAGAACAGAAGUCAGGACUUUCGGCUUUGUAAUGGGGUCAGGUGGGGUGCUUAGAAAAGUUAAGGCUUGAAGGCAGGUUUCAAAAGCGGUUUAAGUAAUCUGAGAUCGCAUUGUUGUGGCAACCCUAUUUUAGGGUAAAAUCAGAAUUUGCCUCAGUUUUUGCUCAAUUGAGGCUUUUCACUUUCAUUUCCUUUUUCUUUUGACUUUUCGGCCUUUUGCCAUUCUUUUGAACUUUCACAAAAUUUUGCCUCCAGUUUAUUUUUGAACUGAAGUACUCUUUUCUUCUUUUGCUUUUGAUUUUGUUGCAUUUCACUUUUUCACUUCUUGAAACUUUCCUUUUUCAACCCAACGUGCCCCAGUGUGGGGUUUGCGAUUCUCAGGGGUUGCCAAAUGAAGUAUUUUAUUCUGAAGGCUCAAAAAGGAUAACUAGGGAUAGAAUGUUUGAUUGGAAAAAAAGAGGGCCUGACUUUUAUUCUGCCCUUACAAUGACUCUGAAAGGAAACUUUCAUUAAUGCGAAAUUUUUGGCAUGUAUUUGAAUUAACUGAUUGAGGAGGACCCUUGUUCAUCCAUAUGUGUGAAACAUAGGCGAUCCACGCGGACAAAACUCUUCCUUUUCUUUUUUCAAAAUUGGAACCCAAGUGGAAUCAAAUUUCCCCAACUUGCGGUUCUCUUUCCCCCUUUCUUUUCCCUUUUUUUUUCAAAAUUCCCCAAUCUCCUUCCCCAAUGUGGGGUGCGAUCAUAUAUGCACUCGAAAAAGAACCACCAAUUUUGCUCAAAUAGGGAUGCAAGGGAUGAUCAGUGUUUAGGUUGUAGAAACGACGGCCAAAGCGUCAUUCUUACACCUCAUGACAACCAAAGUAACGAAAUGGUCAUUAAGAAUCCAUUCCCCUUUUGAUAUUUGAAAAUUUUCCAAUGAAGGGUAGUGAUCAUUAGGGCUCUUAUUUGAAACGAAAUUAUUCUUUUAAAGGCUCAAAUGGGAGAGCAAAUGAUAAAAUGUGUAUAGGUAGAGAAACGAAUGCUCAAAGUAUCAUUCUAAAUUUUCAAAAUAAACAAGAAUGAUGCACAUUUUUGCUUUCACUUAGAUGUGAUUGAAUCGGAUUAGACACCGCGGAUAUUUUCAAGCAAAAGUUGCCCCAAUUUAUCAAUCAAUGUGACUGACUUUAUUUUGGGAUUAAGUGCAGGAGAAAAGGUAUCUCAUGGGCCUUCUGAAUGACCUCUUUCAAUUUUUGAGCACUCUUAUUGUGUAGCUCGGAUCACCAAUCUAGUGUAUACAUUUGUGAGUUUUCAGGCCAAAGGUUGAAAAAUCUCAAUUUGAGCUUAUUUCUUAAAAUUCACCAUGAAAUCUCUUAAUGAGCUCAAUAAAGAAUGAAAUGCACAUGAAUAUACACAAAACAAUAAUUGUCCAAAAAUUUUAUUGCUGAAAAAGUUUGAAACAAAAUUUCUCGUUCAAUUAUGAUACAAAUGAGAAUAGAAAGCUUCUAAAGAGCUCCACAUAUAUAUCCCUUUUGUCUCCUUCUCUUUUGACACAAAAAUAUAUUAACAAGUCAAAUACACAGAAUUUUCCUUGAAAGCAAUUAUGAAAUCUCUUAGAAGCUCUUAGCCUAGAGCUUUCAGAUGGAUCUUUCAUGUUUCCAUUGUUGGAUCUGCCCAAGAAUCAAACAAUACUUGCAAUUUUGACACUUUAUUAGAUCCAAAUUAUCAUCAGAUACAGAAAAAUAUUUUUGCCUUAUUGAAACAUUUUUAUGAAUGCAAGGGAAGGGAGAAAACAAAAGAAAGAAAAAACCAUGAGUUAGUAAACAAGAAUAUAAAAUCGGUAUGCAUGUCCUAUGGGGGAACCCUUUUAUGCCAAGGGUAGGCCUAGCAUGAAAAUGCAAUCCUCUAGAGCAGGCACUAUACAAUACCUGAUGGAUCCAAUCAGCUUAUGGAGUGAAAAAUAAUUUUGAAAAAAAUUGGCCCAUUGGAACGAGAAGAGACGUUUGUCAACAUGAGGACCUCGUCCGAAGGGAUUGAUCACUUUUGAUUGAUACAAGAACUUACAAAAACGCACGGGUUUGAUCUUGACGAACUUCCUAUUGAAGAGAUUGGAAUUCGUUUUGACAACUUUUCUCAGUGAAGCACGGGUCAAAACUCCAACUGAUCAAAUGGCUAGAUGCAAAGGAUGUUUUUCUCAAAAUCAACUAGGUUUUCCAUUUUGAAACUCGACAUUGAAACCCUAAUUGGUCAAAUGAAAUUGACAAUUUUAUUAAAAAUCGACUGGAUUACCCUAAAAAGGGAAACAGGUCAAAUGAAUUGAAUGAAAUUUAAUUUAUCCAAAAUUAAUCAGAUCACCCUAAAAAGGGUAAAUUGAUCAAAUAGAUUGAACGAAACUUGAUUUUUCCAAAAUCGGCUCGGUUGCCCGAAAAAUGGGUAAAUUGGCCAAAUGAAUGAAAUUGAAUUAGUGAUUUAUUCAAAAAUCGGCCGAAUGACCCUAAAAAGGGUAAAUUGGUCAAAUGAAUUGAUGAUUUAUUCAAAAAUCGACCAUGUGACCCUAAAAGGGUAAAUUGGUCAAAUGAAUUGAUGAUUUAUUGAAUGAAUUGGCAAAAUGGAUCGGUUGAAUUGUCCGGCCAUUGGUUAUUUCAAAAUUAUUGAGGUGCAUUGGUCUAUGACCUUCUAAAAAUCAAAUUUUGGCCUCAAUUUAUUUAUCGUCUCAAUAGGAGGAAUCAUUUGUGAAUUUCUUCAAAUUAAUGUCCUUCACGCAAGGGAUUUUUACCAAUUUUUGAUAAAAUGGCCAAAGAGUGAUUAUUAGAUGCUCAUAUUCCAAAGAUCACUCUAUGAAAAUGAUCGGAUCCUACCUUACCUUGUGCACUACCCCUUUGGAUGGUACAAAAUGUAAACGUGCAAGUCUCUUUGGAUUAAGUAUCCGAGACACAAGGUGGCUUAUUCCUAACACAGGAUCCCCUAAAUGGCAUUCCCUUUCUAGGGUUUAUGCGUGAUGCCAGUUUAUUAAAGCGAUAUAAAUAUGUGACAAAUAUGGCCUAAAGGAUAUAAAUAAUGCAACGGGGGAAAAGGUCUAAACAUGAAAUGUAUUUACUGAAAGGUAAGUGCAAAGACUGAAAUUUAGACAUGUGAGCUAUCUAGUGGAUGAGUCACUAAAAGAGUGCCAAAGAGGCCCCUUAUUGCUAUGGCACAUGAAUGCAGGCCAAGAAAACAAAAAAAAUGGUUAGUGCAGUUGAUAGUACACAUAACACAUUGUAACAACAAGAUAAAGCAAUCAAAGCAAUAAAAAGGAAAAAAAGGGUUGGACCCCUCCCCUCGUGAAUAGUGUCCCUAGCUUAGGAUAAGGCCGACUCUACCCUAGGCAAGCUAUCAUGGAUGCAUGAGGUUGGGGUUCACUAUGCAUCUAGACUCGAUGAGCUCAGGUCCCCGAGCCUUCAGACUUAGAAACCAAGGGUCACCAAUCCCAAGGUUCUUUGUCGGUGGCUCGAGCGAUUCCCCAAACACCGCUACGCACACAUCGUGUCACGGCUACGUGUUUGAGUGAAUCUAUCAAAACCUCAAUCUUCGACCAAAAGCUAAAGGCUAUCAACCAAUAGCUUUAAGCGGAAGAUUGAGUGACCCAUUGGAACAUGCUACACACACAUCGUGUCGUGAUCACAUGUCCAAGUGAGUCACCUAAUCCUAAUAGGGUGGAGUGGCGUGACAAGCCACUAAAGAAAAAUAAAAGGGAUAAAAGAAGUAAAGCGUAUGCUCGUAUGCUAGUGCUCGUUUGGAGGGGAAGGGUCAAGAACCAGCGCGAGGCUCUAGGGUGACCCAUACCUCCCAAAAUGCAAUGCAAGCGCGAGAUAACAAGUAAACACACAUCCAAUCAACCAAUCACACAUACGUGAGUGAGGGAAUAGUUGGAUACGCGCGCGAGGCAAAAAGGCCCUAAAAAUGGAAAAUGCAAGCCUAAUAUCCAAAUGCAAUGCAUAAAAAGGGUAGAAAAAGGAAACGAAUGGCUAAGUCAAAUGCUUGGACCCACUUAGGAAGUCCCCAGUGGAGUCGCCAACUGUCGCGCCCCACUUUUUGAAAUGUGUUGUGUGAAUGUGAGUGAUGCGUGUGCAAAAUGAAAAGUAAAAAGGCCAUGGGACUUUGGAAAGCGACGAUUUGGCCAAAUGAAAUUUUAAAAAGGGUUUUUUAAAUAUGAAAAUGGAGUCGCCACUUGGUAUAGAUUUGGGGUGUACCAAGUCACCCAAAAAGUAUUUUUAAAGACAAAGUAGUGAAAACCCUUUUUAAAACGACUCCUAGUCCACGUAAGCCAAAGAAAAAGGUUCGGGGGUCACGUUUGACAAAGGGGAAGGCAAGGAUAGAAUCCAAGGCACCCCUUUGACCUAGCCAAGGCUAGUUGCGCGACUCAAACCAAUUUUUCCUAAUUUUUCUACCCAAGGUAUGUAUCGCGUAUUGGAUAUGUCUAUAUGAAUGCGAAAACCUAGACCUAGGGGGACAUGGGGGAAAUUUCUCUUCAAAGGUUGAGUGGUGCCAAUCACAUUAAUUGUGAAGCCCAAUAAUGAUCCUUUUGGAGAGGUCACACCUAAACCUAAAUGACGUAAAAAAUGAGUGGAAUGCAUGCCAUGUGAAAGUGUGAGUUUGUGUGAAGUGGGAAGAUUGAUAAAAUACGAUACAAGUGGUGGUGUGCAAAUGUCUUUGAAUGCAAAUAUAUAUACUCCAAGUGCAAGUGGGCAAAAAAUGCAUGUAUGCAAUUUAAAGAAAAGUGCGAAAGUGUCGGUGUGCAAAUGAAGAUGAAAGUACUCGUGUGCGAGUGAAGAUAAGAGUGUUCGUGUGCAAAUAAAAGUGAUAAAAGGGUGCAUGUGUGCAAAUGAGACAAAAGUGAAAGUGUAAUGAUAGAGUGGAUUGAGAAUGCAUGAGCUUAGGGAAUUUAUGCAUAUUGGGUACGGGGAGGCCUAAAUCGUGACUCAAUUUGCCCUUUGAUAGAGGGAAUACAAGCGUGCUAAGGCUUAGAAAAAGCCACACUCGUCUAUAUCCCAUAUUUAAGGGGACUCUUCAGGCAAAUGUACCCUAACUAGCAUGAGAUGCAAAGAAUCCUAAAAUGAGGGAAAAGGGGCUCGAGGAGCAUGCCAAAUGAUAAAAUUAAGAAAAAUGCAUGACAUGUAGUGAACAUGCAAAUAUGCACUAACAAAAAGGGAUGGCCUAAUGAGCCACAACUAGCAUUGGACUAGUGUGGUGACGUACAUUCAUCCAUUCCAUUCAUUCAUGGUUAUGAAAGCAAGUAGACAUGCCAAAACGCUCGUAAACACGUAGCACGUAGCACUUAGCAUGCUCGACUAGAUGCAAGAGCCUACUAAAGCAAUUAAACAUGUAGCAACAAAAACAAGCAACCAAGGGGAAGGGGAAAUGGACCAGAUGCUCUACGAGCCCUAGCUAUUACAAGCCAAGAGGUGUACACAUACCCCAUGAAAACAUAAAGGGAAAGGGUGAAUGGACCAGAUGCUCUCCGAGCCCUAUCUAUUACAAGCCAAGAGGUGUACACAUACCCCAUGGAAGCAUAAAGGGGAAGGGGAAAUGGACCAGAUGCUCUCCGAGCCCUAUCUAUUACAAGCCAAGAGGUGUACACAUACCCCAUAAAACUUAAAUAAAAGUAAAAACAAGCAAAUGCAGGCAAGGAGGUAAGGAAAGCGGAGUAGGCAUGCAUAUUCACAUAACACGUAGGAGCACGUAAGGCUAAAUGUAGUGCAAAUGAGGGAUAGAGUGUACCUCCCUUGAAUUGACGCCCCAAUGAAGUGGAAUUAUUCAAUUACCCUCCAAAAUAAAAGAAAUGGUCAAGGUACCAAUUUAUUUGGGAAAAUUAAAGGAAAUAGGCAAUCACAAGCUCACUUGAUCGUAAAGUCCCUAAAGUCAUGACUUAAGCGCAAUUGAAACAAAGCAUGGUAAUUAAUUGAAGCAAACAAGCAAUGAGAUUGCACAAAUUAAAACUGCCAAGGACCAAAAUGAAGAGAUUAUUCAAUUGGUUGGGUCAUGGUGAAACUAAAGGGAACUUGGGGGGUUAAGGUGCAAUUUUUGAAAACAUUUUCCAUGCAAGUUCAUGCAACUGACGCAACUUGUUCUUUUCUGCAAAUUUUCCAGCCAACAUUUUCUGCAAUCUUUUCCAUUUAGCCUUACCAAACUUGAGUGCAACUUAACUCAAAACAAUCCAAUGGAUUCCACAACUCAACUUGAGUGCAAUAGAGUACCAUGAUCAUUUGCUAAGCCUCGAUCAAAUUUCCAAGAAGACAAACUCAAAAACAAGAUAAAGAAAACUGAAAACUUCCUACACGCAUGCUUUGUAGAAAGAAAAUAGCAGCUAUAAUCUCUCGCAGCCCAAAAUCUUUCAACAAUCUAUUCAACAAUCUCCAGGACUACACCAAAACACAAGGAAGGUAACUACUGGAGCAAAUGAACAAACAAGAGAAAGAUAAGCCACAAAUAUUGAAAACAUUUCUGCAUUCUUCAGUUGCAGCUUCAUGUAAAAACUCGGCAAAUAAUACUCAUAUACAGCUUUGGAACUACUGUAAUCAAAAGCAACGGGUAACAUGUCUUAAUCAAUGCAACUGGCGGGAGAAAACACAUAUAAGCUCCAUGCAAAUUUCGAACAGCUUUUGCAAUAAAACUUUCAACAAAAUCUGAAGCUUUCAACAAAGUCCUGCUGUAUAUUUACGGCACUAAAAUACACGGAUGAAUAACUCUAACAUGCACAAACCAUUGUUUAUUACCCCAAACACAGACAUUGCCAAACAUCAUUUUUGACAUUACUAAAACAUGGCAGCCUAUCUUUAGCCAACCCAACCGAGAACAAUAAAGAAAAUGCAGCAAAAGAAACUCAGUCGUGAAUCAUGCAUUGCCCAGAAUUCUCCAACCAGAUUGUGCACCAAGACAACCAAAAGAACAGUCAUGAACUCUAAUGAAACAUGUAAAUCCGUCAAUUAACUUCUCAUGGACUUUAUUUUCACAAUCCCAAAGCCAAACUUUAAACACAGAAAGGGCCAUAGUCAAGAAAACAUCUAGAAAUGAGCAUGAAGAAAACCCAUUAGCAAAAACUCAAGAUUCAUGUCUAACAAAUCGGAAUCUUCAUGAAAUGCGUAUAAAAAUAACAAAACGGGAAGCAAGGGUUACCUCCGUAUGUUCAUGGGGCCAAAGCAACGCGAGCAAUCUGAAGACAUGCGUUCGAACGAAAGGUUUGAAGCUGCAAAUGGCUGAGAUUUGCCUUUUCGGCGAAAAUUCUGCACUUUUCUUUCAGUCUUCCUCUUUUGCUUCUUGCACUGCCCGAAAUUCCUUCUCCAAGUUCCAGAUUUCAGCCGCAGCUCCCUUCUCGGUUUUCCUCAACUUUUUCCAGCUCUCUUCCUGGAUGUCGCUGUCAUGGUCGUGGUCUUCAUCAGGUUUGGUGAGGGCAGGAGCCGUGGUGUUGAGGACAUCGUCUUCAGCUUCAGCUUCGGCUUCUGCUAACCGCUGCAGUAAUUGACUCAGAGCGAGAAACAGCAGCUUGGGUGGUUGCGCCAGUUGGUGGCUUCUUCUGAGCAGUCGCUGCAGCUGUUGCGGCGGAGGAAGAGGUCGAUGACGAUGACGAUGACGAGGAGGCGAGAUUCGAGUUCAGACGGCUGUUUCCCUUUUCUGUUCGGGUGUUGCCUUCCCAAAACCCUUCUAAAACCUCUCUGUUUCCACUCUUCAGACCCUAGCCCAGAUUUCUCUCCCUUCUGAUUUCUAGCCGGCCGUCACUCUAUCCCCCUCUGUUUUUUUUCUCUUGCUUCACUUUCUAUCUUAAACCCUCGCUGUUACCUUCACCCUCAGUUUUUCUCCUUGCCCGUCAACUCUUUCUGUUUUGUUUUGCCUGAAACCCUUCAAUCUUUCUCCCUCUUUGCGGCUGUUUCCUCCCUGGUUUCUAUCCAAUGCUACGUCACUCUCUUUCUGUUUUGUUUUGCCUGAAACCCUUCCCCCAAAACUCCUCCUUUGUUUUUUCUUUUUGCUCUUCUUUUGCUCGAUGCCCUCUCUCCCGUUGCGGCUGCUGCUGCAUCUUCUAUUUAUAUGGGGCCACCCCAACCCUAAAACUCCCAUUGUCUCCUCUAAAAUUGCAGCCAAGGGCUGCCCGAGCCCUUACUUGCAAGCUGCGUAAAAACGCAGCUUGCCAUCGCGUAUUCCCUUUUUUUUUUUUUUUUUUUUAAAGUAAUUAAAAUUGAUAAUAGUAAAAAUAAAUAACAAAAACAAUUUAAUUAACAUUGGAUGAAAAAUAAACUAGAAACAACAAAGUGCAAAUUCCAAUUCAUCAUCUUUUCAUUUUCCAUUUUUCCUUUUUUUCUUUAAAUAAUGAAACUAAAACAUAUUUUUUUGAACACUUUUCUUUUUCCUUUGAGAAAUUCUAGCUAAAAAUGGAUAAAAAUGACUAAAACUAAAAGUAAAUAAACUAAAUGUGACAAUUAAAAAUAGAACAAAUAAAAACGAAUAGUAAAUAAAUAAAUAAAUAAUAAAACACCAAAAAUUUGGUGUCUACAGGGGAGCAACGUUGGUGCUCCAGAUCAUGUCACGAACUCACGAAAGUGGUGGAGACGUCGGCUCCAGGUAAAUAGUAGAGGAGACGUUGGUGUUCAGUACAAGACUCCCAAGAACUCAUUUAAGCCAAAUCAUUUCAUGGGCUCACAUGCCGGCACACAUGAUAUGCAAACGAGUAAAUAAUGCAAGAAACACUUCGCAAGUAACUUUGAAAAUAGUUUAGGGUCACUCACCUCCACGGCUCAGAAACCAUCCAUCAUAUAUCAUUACCUUGCCCGAGUUCAAGCCCUAAAUCACAAACUCAAAUGAAUCAUACAUUCUCAAAGUUCGGACAGCAUUUCCCCAUAAAUACUUCAUUUCCAACCUAUAAUAUAUUACCAAUCACACAUACGGUUAAUAAGCAAUAAAAUAUAUCCAAUUAGGCCACAAUAUCCUUCAAUCAAAGCUAAUUAAAAGCUUAUGAGCCACCAUUAGAAAAACCCCCAAUUAAACCCUAGAAACCGGAAAUCAUUCCCUCAAGCGUAAAUUUGGGCAGCAUGCUCUUUGUGUUUACCCAAUUGUCCAGCCAUUUUGGCUUCAUUAUUUUUUCUCAUUCAAACCCAAAGGUACACACACAACAAUCUAACUUCAAUAGCCGUUCAAUAGGCUCAAGACAAUACAAGAACUUAAAUCAACUAAUAACAAAUGCGGAAAUGAAGUUUACAAAAGACAGAUUUGACAGGUUUUUGCGGAAAGAACACAUCUGGGGCUACGCUUAUCAGAUUGGUGUGAAAAUUAUACCAUUUCGAAGCUAAGAUAAAGGGCUACAACUUUCAUGAAGAUCACUUGGUCAAAUUUCCAGUGUAACCUGGUCAAAUUCCCAAUUUACAGAGCUAACUUCCAACUAUACGGCUAAUUAACCGCACUGCACUAGAAUGGUCAUAUCUCAGGCUACCAAGGUCCGUUUAAGGUGUUCUUUGAGGCGUUUAAAAGCUAAGCCAGAGUACUAAAACUUUCAUGUUUUGGAAAAUGGCUAAAUCAGCACGGAUCCUAGUGAAUAAACAUGAUAAACUGGAUGAACUGACUAAAACGGAACACUGGAAACAUCCUAAAAUAGUGAGGGUAUUUUGGUCUUUUCACAGGUUACGUUGAUCCGAUUGAGCUGAAAUUUUGUAGGUAACCAUAAAAUAUCAUUCUCUACAACUUUCAUGUUUUGUGCCAAGCCUAAUUCGGCCUCUACCAUACACAAAUAAAACCGGGCAGAACAGAACAAGUUCUUUUCCAAUGAAACCCUAGGCUGAAAUUCCAUCAACCUUUGCCAAUCUAGGUUUUCAUCCAUAAAACUUCUAAGAUUCAGGUCAUCUAUCCAAUAAAAUACAAUAUAAGAGGUAGAAGAAGAGUUUCUUAGUUUAAUACCUUCAAACCUCAAGGAAAUACACAAAAACAAGGCUGCCCAUGCAACAAUCACUCCACCCAAAGCUUCCUUGUCACCAUAUUGCAAGUUUAAUCGGUUUAAUCUUUGUGGUUUCAACUCAAACAAGGUAUAAUCUAAGAUGGAACUUGAAGCUCUCCCUCUCUUUUUCUCCUCCCAAAUUCGUCCAUCAUGGAAGGCAAAGGAAGAAAAUGGUGAUUGACUUGAGUUGGAUAAGUUUUAAACUUAAUCUUGGUCAAGAUUGGCUUGGUGCUUGACAAGUGGCACAAAUCCAAGGGAAAGUCUAUCUAAUUGUCUCUCUUAAGUACUCAAAUAUCUAUUACUCCUCCAAUCAUCUCUUAACACCUUUUGUCACAUAAUUUCUUUUGCACAAAACUCAUUCUAGUCGUUAAAAUUUUACCGUACUAACCGUACUAGCGGGUCCCACGUUGAUAGUACACUUCAAACUUAACGUGAACUAACUUAUAUCAAAGAAAUGAUUUGAAAACUAUAUUCCCUUAUAAAAAUGUAUAAGAAAUUAAUAUAUUGAAGAAAGACACAAAAUUAUAGACAAGGAAACAAAAUAAUGUUUCGAAAAUAUAUAAAAAUUUUCGGGUUCUCGCACUCAUCCUUUCGGGGUGUCACAAACUCCCCUCCUUAAAAGAAUGUCGUCCUCGACAUUCCAUCUUGUACCAGUCAAGUCAAGACAUCCCGCAAGAAUCACUAAUAUUUCAAACCAAACCCACAGUCCAGCAUCUUAAACUUCAAGCCUAGGAUACACUACAGGAAUCUGAAGCCUAAACUCUGAUACCAUCUAUGACGGCCCCACCUCCCCCUAAGGCGAACCCAAGUGUUCGGCGGACCGCCUGCCCGGCUCUCGCCGGGACUCACUCACUACAAACCUCAAUUCAAUUACAAUAUAAAUCUAAAAUAUACAUCAAAUUCUCCAAUAAUUAUAUGUCAUAAGCGAAGCGUCCACGCUUCCGCUACGCCACUCUGAUCCUUGAUACCAGCUAUUAUACAGGAGAAAUUCCAAAUCUAAACUGUACAAAAUAUAGGCCAUCCAGUCACGUGAAUAAGUAUUACAAGUCCUUCCUUCGCCACGAGCCCUGUGGAGGGGAAUAAAAUAGUUUUGGGGUGAGCUAAAAGCUCAGUGAGUAACCAGCAAAAUCAGUAAGCAAAUAUAUUUCAAGAUAAUGCACUUCAAUGAUGUCAUGAAUCAAGGAUCAAAUGUACGUUUAUCGCUCUCGUGAGCCAAUGAAAUCAUUGCACUUAAACACCCAACGCUCAAAAAGAUUAUUUAACGAUAAACAAUAAGGGGGAGCAACGUUGGUGCUCCAGAUCAUGUCACGAACUCAUGAAAGUGGUGGAGACGUCGGCUCCAGGUAAAUAGUAGAGGAGACGUUGGUGUUCAGUACAAGAGUCCCCAAAAACUCAUUUAAGCCAAAUCAUUUCAUGGACUCACAUGCCGGCACACAUGAUAUGCAAACGAGUAAAUAAUGCAAGAAACCCUUCGCAAGUAACUUUGGAAACAGUUUAGGGUCACUCACCUCCACGGCUCAGAAACCAUCCAUCAUAUAUCAUUACCUUGCCCGAGUUCAAGCCCUAAAUCACAAACUCAAAGCAAUCAUACAUUCUCAAAGUUCGGACAGCAUUUCCCCAUAAAUACUUCAUUUCCAACCUAUAAUAUAUUACCAAUCACACAUACGGUUAAUAAGCAAUAAAAUAUAUCCAAUUAGGCCACAAUAUCCUUCAAUCAAAGCUAAUUAGAAGCUUAAGAGCCACCAUUAGAAAAACCCCCAAUUAAACCCUAGAAACCGGAAAUCAUUCCCUCAAGCGUAAAUUUGGGCAGCAUGCCCUUUGUGUUUACCCAAUUUUCCAGCUAUUUUGGCUUCAUUAUUUUUUCUCAUUCAAACCCAAAGGUACACACACAACAAUCUAACUUCAAUAGCCGUUCAAUAGGCUCAAGACAAUACAAGAACUUAAAUCAACUAAUAACAAAUGCGGAAAUGAAGUUUACAAAAGACAGAUUUGACAGGUUUUUGCGGAAAGAACACAUCUGGGGCUACGCUUAUCGGAUUGGUGUGAAAAUUAUACCAUUUCGAAGCUAAGAUAAAGGGAUACAACUUUCAUGAAGAUCACUUGGUCAAAUUUCCAGUGUAACCUGGUCAAAUUCUCAAUUUACAGAGCCAACUUCCAACUAUACGGCUAAUUAACCGUACUGCACUAGAAUGGUCAUAUCUCAGGCUACCAAGGUCCGUUUAAGGUGUUCUUUGAGGCGUUUAAAAGCUAAGCCAGAGUACUAAAACUUUCAUGUUUUGGAAAAUGGCUAAAUCAGCACGGAUCCUAGUGAAUAAACAUGAUAAACUGGAUGAACUGACUAAAACGGAACACUGGAAACAUCCUAAAACAGUGAGGGUAUUUUGGUCUUUUCACAGGCUACGUUGCUCCGAUUGAGUUGAAAUUUUGUAGGUAACCAUAAAAUAUCAUUCUCUAAAACUUUCAUGUUUUGUGCCAAGCCUAAUUCGGCCUCUACCAUACACAAAUAAAACCGGGCAGAACAGAAUAAGUUCUUUUCCAAUGAAACCCUAGGCUGAAAUUCCAUCAACCUUUGCCAAUCUAGGUUUUCAUCCAUAAAACUUCUAAGAUUCAAGUCAUCUAUCCAAUAAAAUACAAUAUAAGAGGUAGAAGAAGAGUUUCUUAGUUUAAUACCUUCAAACCUCAAGGAAAUACACAUAAACAAGGCUGCCCAUGCUACAAUCACUCCACCCAAAGCUUCCUUGUCACCGUAUUGCAAGUUUAAUCGGUUUAGUCUUUGUGGUUUCAACUCAAACAAGGUAUAAUCUAAGAUGGAACUUGAAGCUCUCCCUCUCUUUUUCUCCUCCCAAAUUCGUCCAUCAUGGAAGGCAAAGGAAGAAAAUAGUGAUUGACUUGAGUUGGAUAAGUUUUAAACUUAAUCUUGGUCAUGGUCUUGGUCAAGAUUGGCUUGGUGCUUGACAAGUGGCACAAAUCCAAGGGAAAGUCUAUCUAAUUGUCUCUCUUAAGCACUCAAAUAUCUAUUACUCCUCCAAUCAUCUCUUAACACCUUUUGUCACAUAAUUUCUUUUGCACAAAACUCCUUCUAGUCGUUAAAUUUUACCGCACUAACCGUACUAGCGGAUCCCACGUUAAUAGUAUACUUCAAACUUAACGUGAACUAACUUGUAUCAAGGAAAUGAUUUGAAAACUAUAUUCCCUUAUAAAAAUGUAUAAGAAAUUAAUAUAUUGAAGAAAGGCACAAAAUUAUAGACAAGGAAACAAAAUAAUGUCUCAAAAAUAUAUAAAAAUUUUCGGGUUCUCACACUCAUCCUUUUGGGGCGUCACAAGAACUUUUGUUGUUUUUUUUUCCUUUGUGUUAAUUAUGUUGUGAAACAAUAUGUAAUGUAAUUGCAUUUAUAGUUCAACUCUUAUAUUUUGCACAACCAAUUCUUGUGCCCUGAUGAAAUAGAUGCUGCUGGAACGAUUGAAGGAAAACCGAGAAUGCAAAACUGCCUUUACUCUACUUGGUCAAUCUAUCUUGAUCUGAUGUGCAGAGGUUCUUGAAUUUAUGAAAAGGGAAAGCUAUCUUCAUAUACUUCAUGUCCUUGGAGAGGUCGGAUUGCAUCUUUCUCUAAUAGUACAGCAGUAAGGGUAUUCUUGAAAUCUGUUUUAGUAUAUUAGCCAGCUUCUCUUCGUUGCUUAUUAAUUUCCCUCUAUUUAUUGCACUUUGCUUUUGGUUUAUGGUAAUUGAAUUUUCUUUUCCUCCCAUUCUCUCUGCGAUCAUGUCUUCUUGUUUAUUCUGCGAUUUUGUUAAAGUACUUCUGUUGUUCAAUCAUGUUAUUACCUUCCUUCUCUUUUCAAGGUCUCGACAAUCAUUCAAUUGGGGUCUUGAAUUUUUUUUUAUUUUUUUGCCUUAAAAUGCAUUUUUGUUGGCAUUCAAAUACAGAUUUUUACACUAGAGCAAAGUUUCAGAAGGCCCAGCUAGAGUUUCUAAGUUCAGAGAGAUCAUGGCAACAGUUUAUAGUCCACUUAUGUAUCAAAUUCAUGCUAGCUUGAUUGGUUGCUGAUUAAUUGGAAAAAUUCCCAAAGUUCUAUGGACGUAGUAAUUGACAGAGGAAUGUAAAAUUUUUUUUAUCUGAUAGGGUCUUUCACACUCUCAUGAGUUGAAGAUACCAUUCAGCAUCCUGUAGUUGAAGAUACUAUUAUAGAUGGUUUCUUAAAAAUGUUAAGUAUGUAUUCUUAUCUUCUUUAAGUUGCAUUGCACAUAGCUCCCAUUCAUACAUCCUGCCUCGGUCUAAAUCAUGUAAGUCAUCAUGAGUUAGACUUCUAAUUGGAUCACGUCGAAUGUCCCUUCAGUUCUUAUUGGAUCAGUUGUGCAUUUUACGAUAUUUAUACAGCGAGGUGUCUUGGUUCUUCUAAGGACACCUUUUACCCUGAUUUCUUUGCAGGUAAAUCUAGUUCAUGCUUUAAGGGACAAUUAUGAAGUGUGAUUUGCAUGUCAUUUGUCUGUUCUGCAUUUGCAUCCAAGUGUCUAAAUCUAUAAUCAGUGUCCUUUUUUAGUUGUUUUCUUGCUUAUGCUAAUUCCUGGCUAUACUGAUAGUUCAUAUAAGAAAUGAUUUGAUUUUCCAAAAGUACGAAUACACUUAUCAGAUAGAUGUUACGCAGCAAAAACUACAUAAAUGUUGUAAUUAUUCUUGAAUACAAGGUGGUAUGAGAGGAAGGGCAAUAUUGGGGAUUGGAUGACAAUGGAGACCUCCAAUCGUAUUGCAGGAUAGCAAAUUUUCAUAGGAGUUAGAUAAGCUGUCUUGCUAGGGUGGGUAGUGAAAGUACACUAGGAGAGAUAAACUGCAUAAUUUAUCCAUUAUUGAAUAUGUAGUGAUUCUCUAUAUAGCUUAAGGGACUGUUGAGAUUGUACUGCUUGUAAAUGCAAAUUAAGGUCUUCGCUAGUGCUGAAGGCUUCAAUCAAAAGCGAGAAGAUUACUGAUGAAAAGCGAGACAGGAGUAGGUUUCCUUUAAUUGUACUUGAAGGAAAUUAUAAGGCAACAAGAUUUCUAGAGGAUGAAAGUGUAAAAUCUUGCACUUCGAACUAGAAAUAUUGCAUGUGGAGCGAUAGACAAACUUAAACAGUAAUGUUAGUGGAAUAUCCCACGUUGAUAUUUCAAGGAUUUCCAACCAUAUAUAUAAGAUGUUGGGUCACUCCACUCAUUGCCAAUUGGUUUUGAAAUGGAAGUCCAAGUUUUUGAUCAUGGUAUCAAAGCUAGGCUUGGAUUUAUUUGUUACCGCGUUUAUAGGUUUUACUUGUGACUUGGUUCUUUACUAGUUUAAGUCCAUUCACCAAGUCACAUUUGCGGAGGGGGGUUAGUAGAAUAUCCCACAUUGCUAUUUCAAGGAUUUCUAGCCAUAUAUAUAAGAUGUUGGGCCACUCCACUCAAUUGGUUUUGAGAAGGAAAUCCGAGUUCAUUAAUGUUAGUUAUAUCUACAAAUAAAUGCUUCUUACUACAGUUAAGUGGCUAUUAGUGUUGAUCAGGUUUGCAUGAGCUGGCAUAAAAUGGUGUUGAAAAUUGAAGAAACAGAGCGUGUUUAAUUUGCUCAACGUAUGAUGCUUCUCUCCUCUCUCUCUCUCUCAAAAGUCAAGUUUAGUACUUUGAUGAAUUACGUUAUAAUCUGAAUCGCCCAUAAAAUGGUGUUGAAAAUUGAACAAACAGAGCGUGUUUAAUUUGCUCAACAGAUGAUGCUUUUCUCCUCUCUCUCUCUCUCUCUCUCUCUCAAAAGUGAAGUCUAGUACUUUGAUGAAUUACGUUAAUCUGAAUUGCCCGAAAAGUCAUAUUCUUGUGGCAAAAAUAGGGUUUCUCCAUUGUGAUUCAGAAAUGUUUUCUUAAAAUAAAAUUAAAAUGAGGGACAUAAGUGUCAAUAUGCAAGAACAGCCCUGCAUGUAUGGAUUAGGCCACGGAGGGACUGAUUUCUUUCCAGACCAUGAUUUAAUAUGAGUCUGAUAGCUCGGUUCACUAGAUUCACCUUUCCUGCCUUAGAACAAUACUAAUUUAGUCCAUAGUUUGUCUUUUAUUGUUUCAGUUAUUUUCUUUUUUCUUUUGGCCUUGUCCGUGUUAAAGGACUACUAGUUCUUCAAUUGAUCCUUUAAAUUUUCAAAACAUUGGUGAUAAAUUUAUUGACACACAGAGUUAUCAUGUUGACGUCAACGUGAUAACGUUUAUGUUCUUGUUGGCUAAAGAAAAAUACUUCACAUCAGAGAAUAUUGCAGACUCUAUGGAUGUUGAUGACUAAGAAUAUAUCAGAGAUGGUAACUUUGUGGAGUUCUACAUUCCUUCGUAGAUUGUACAUAACCAGAUACAAGUAAGGUGGUGUUUGGUUCGCACAUUGGUAUCGGAUUCGGAUUCGGAAUCGGAUAUCCUAAGUUUGGAAUGAGGUCAUUCAUUCCAAUACAUUUGUUUGGUUCAAGUACCUGGAAUGUGUAUCAUUACUAUAGUUGAUGUUUGGUUCAUCGACUCUUUCGGAAUGAAAUAUAAUAAAUAUAUUAUAAAUCUCAUCGUAAAUGAUAGUUACUGGCUCUUUGUAAAUGGGAUAUAAGAAAUUUUCACUAAUUAAAUAUAUUAGUAUAAAUGUAUUAGUAAAUUUAGUCUAACUAAUUAAUAAUUUCUAUUAGUCAACGUGUGCAAUUAUUAGUAUAAUUGAUAAUAUUAAUUAUAUUACAUAAAUUAAUAUACAUUAUAUAAUACAUAUAAAUAAUAAUAAUAUUAUUAUAAGUUUGUAACUAAUUAAAUUAAAUAUUAUAUAUAAUUAAAUAUAAAUAUAUAAAUGUUAUAAUAUAAAUAUAAAUAUAUAAUUAUAUAAUAUAUGCAAAUAUUAAUUAUACUAAUAUUUUAUCUAAAUAUAAUAUAUAUUACAUAUUAAAUAUAGUUAUUAUUACAUAUUAUUAUAUUUAAAAUAAUAAUUAUAAUUAUAAUUAUAUAACUUAUUAAUAUUACAUACACGUAUAUAUUAUAAUUAUAUGCACAUAUAAUGUACAUUUAUAAAUAUACAUAUAUAUUAUAAAUAUAAUAUUAUAUAAUAUUAAUAAAUUUAUAAUAUAUAUUAUAUAAGUAUAAUUAUAUUUAACUAAAUAAUUAUAAUAUAUAAUUAUAUAAUAUAAUAACAACAUUAUUAUAAGUUUGUAACUAAUUAAAUUAAAUAUUAAAAAUAUAAUUAAUUAUAAUUAUACAAAUGUUAUAAUAUAAAUAUAUAAUUAUAAUUAUAUAAUAUAUAAAUAUUAAUUGUACUAAUAUUUUAUAUAAAUACAAUGCAUAUUAAUAUUAGAUAUAGUUAUUAUGUUUAAAAUAAUAAAUACAAUUAUAAUUAUAUAAUUUAUUAAUAUUAUGUACAUGUAUAUAUUAUAAUUAUAUGCAAAUAUAAUAAGCAUUUAUAAAUAUACAUAUAUAUUAUAAAUAUAUUAUUAUAUAAUAUUAAUAAAUUUAUAAUAUAUAUUAUAUAAUUAUAAUUAUAUUUAAUUAAAUAAUUAUAAUAUAGAUUUAUAUAAUAUACUAGUAUUAUAAUAAUAUAUUAUAUAUAUGUAUAUAUUAUAAUAUGUACAUAUAUAUAAUAUAUAUAAAUAUUAAUUAUACUAAAUAAUAUGUAAUCGGUAAAAAAAUCUUGGAAUCACACUUGGGUUUUGGACAAAACCCACCCUUCUACUAAGGAAUGGAGAGACACCAAAUUUUUAGAAAUCAUUCCAAGAUUUCAAUUUUCAUUCCAGUGAACCAAAUACCAAUUAUAGAGUUCAUUCCAUUCCUUCAUUCUGAUACCCUUUUACCAAACGCCCCCUAAUUGAUGCUGUGCAUUCCCUAUGGCCGGUUUUUUAUAGGUAGCCUUGUAAAAUGCCUGGUUUGUGGCAACAAACCAAGUGCUACCUGGUCUUCUCCCUUGGUGGCAUAGCAAUUGAUUUUUUUUUUGGUAACCAAGAACAUACCCUGACUCGAACUCUUAGGACCCGAACCGGCACACCAAACUGGAGGAGUGCACCACGGCCCCACACAACGAUUUCGAGCGAGUCACGGGGGUUCAAGUUUAGGGUAAGAUUCGAAUUCAGGACCACAAGAGUCCUUAAGAGCCCGCUUACUGCUGGACCACCCCCGUGAGGGCCAUAGCAAUUGACUUUGAUGGAUCCCUUUUUAAGAAUUCGAAAGAGGUUGCUGCAGGAGUUUUGGUAAGGAAUGAUGCUGGGGCGUUUUAAAACUGGUUGUUUUAAAAGUUUGCCUAUGUAAUCAAUCCUCAGGCUAUGUUUUCAGACUCGGACCGGGUAUCGACUCGACCGAGCUCAGGGGUCAAUGAGUUUGACCGGGUUCGAUUGGGGUUGAACCGAAUGAUGUCAUAAAUAAAAAUUAUUUAAAAAUUAAAAUAUUGUAUAUAAAAUACCUAAAAAGUAUGUUAAUAUUAAUAAAGGUAUAUUCAUAUAUAUUUGAUGUUUCAAAUAACAAAAAAAUGCAAAGAAAUUAGAAUGAUCAAGUAGCAAUUUAUAUUAUUUAAUGAACAUUAACAAGUUUAGAAUUAAAAUCAUGGAUUUGAUUGAAAAAUAACAUCAAAUUUUAGGACAACAUUUAUAAAGUAUGAAAUAUUUGAGAUAUAUUAAUAAGUUUUAACAAUUUAGGAGUCAAAACAUAAUAUUGAAAAAGAUUGACCUUUUUUUUUAAAAAAAAUGCUCUUGUUGAACCGGUUUUCCAGGUCAAACUCGGGUUUUGUUCGAAUUUGACCGGAUUUUUAGUCCUCCGGUUUUGAAGAACAACUCGGACUGAACACUUAGCCGGUUUUCGGUUCGAUAGAUCGGACCGGCUGGUUCGGUCCGAGUUUAAAAUCGCAGUCCUCAGGUAGCUAAGAUAUUGGCUAAUAAAAUUUUCCUUGCCAGUAAGUAGUCGAAUUUUCCACUCACCUUUGAGGGUGAUGCUGCUUCUGUACCUCUGAUAAUCCGGGAUCCAAAUGCAGACUUAUUUGCUGCUGUGUGCUGAUUGAUGAUGCUUGCCAGCUGCUUAGUCCGAUUGCUAUUGAAUUAGUGUCUGUAGUGAUGUCACGAAACAAGGCUGCUCAAACAAUUUGGUAAGCAUGCUAAGUUGAAUUGUAGUACAUCACGGGGAGGCUCGGGGCGCCUUCACUUUUACGGUUAUCUUUUCUCGUUGAUGAUAUUUGCAUUUGGAUAGAAUAUUAUUUGAAAUAAUUAUUGUAGUAUUUUUGUGAUCUGAUGUAUUUGAGAUAAAAAAAAUGGUUAAGAAUAUAAAAAGAUACGUUGAAAAAUAUAUUUAUAAUGUAAAUGAAAUAUUAUUUACAAAAAUUUAGCUAUUUCUUUCAAAUAAAUCUACUACUGUCUUUUUUGGCUGGGAGGGGGGAGGGCGGGAUUAAGAAAAGAAGAAAAGAUAAAGACGUACCCUUUCCCAUGUUGAAAGUUUAUAAACAACGAUUCAAGAAUUCGAAGGAUACCAUUGUUCCCACUGUUAGAUGCAAAGCUAGCACCGAUGCCAGCACCAAUUUUUUUUUUUUAAACAUACGCAUAUCUCAAGGUUUAGAGUCAAGGUAUUACUCUUUCUUAUGAUAGGCUGCCAAUCCACUGAAAAUCAUAACAAUCCCACCAAGGAAAAAAUGAAAAAUAUAUACCUCCGAAAUUUCCCGAUCUUUUAUGGUCUUUUUAAAUUUCGAUCAUAAAAAAAUACACUGUUAUGGUCUUUUAUGGUCAUUUUUUAUGGACAUCUGUACGAGGGGAGAAAUGACGAAAGGUUAAGCAUCCAAACUACGUGAUGUAACUCUAUAUAACUUUUCAAAAGAAGAACUUCAUAUGCAUCUGUCCCAGAACAAAAAUGUAAACAAAAAAGCUUCACAUGCAUAUACCCGUGAACAAUGGUUUUAUUAGUACUAAAGGGAUAAGAGGGACAACUGUUCCUCAACAGAGCAGUCGACAUGACAAGAUAUCCGACAAGAAAAAGGGAUGAGAAUCAGACCAAGGCCUCG